This 254-nucleotide ribosomal RNA is filed under the name uncultured bacterium. Its description in RNAcentral is "partial 16S ribosomal RNA". It matches the Rfam family "Bacterial small subunit ribosomal RNA", at positions 524 to 776 of the family's 1533-position model. The record is from RNAcentral.
UACAGAGGGAGCGAGCGUUUUCCGGAAUCACUGGGCGUAAAGGGCGCGUAGGCGGCCUGGUAAGUAGGGGGCGAAAUCUCAUGGCUCAACUGUGAGGCUGCCUUCUAGACUGCCGGGCUUGAGCAUGGUAGAGGCUGGUGGAAUUCCCGGUGUAGCGGUGGAAUGCGUAGAGAUCGGGAAGAACAUCCGUGGCGAAGGCGGCCAGCUGGGCCAUCUGCUGACGCUGAGGCGCGAAAGCGUGGGGAGCAGACAGG